GGAGUUAGCCGGUGCUUCUUCUGCGAGUAACGUCACAGAUGUAAGGUAUUAACUUACACCCUUUCCUCCUCGCUGAAAGUGCUUUACAACCCGAAGGCCUUCUUCACACACGCGGCAUGGCUGCAUCAGGGUUUCCCCCAUUGUGCAAUAUUCCCCACUGCUGCCUCCCGUAGGAGUCUGGGCCGUGUCUCAGUCCCAGUGUGGCUGAUCAUCCUCUCAGACCAGCUAGGGAUCGUCGCCUAGGUGAGCCUUUACCUCACCUACUAGCUAAUCCCACCUGGGCUUAUCCAUCAGCGCAAGGCCCGAAGGUCCCCUGCUUUCCCCCGUAGGGCGUAUGCGGUAUUAGCAGUCGUUUCCAACUGUUAUCCCCACAAAUGGGCAAAUUCCCAGGCAUUACUCACCCGUCCGCCGCUCGUCAUCUUCAAAAGCAAGCUUUUGAAAUGUUACCGCUCGACUUGCAUGUGUUAGGCCUUGCCGCCACGCGUCAUCUGAGACAUAAUACAACUACUCGA
This 512-nucleotide ribosomal RNA is filed under the name uncultured bacterium. RNAcentral describes it as "partial 16S ribosomal RNA". The record is from RNAcentral.